GAUGAAGAACGUAGCGAAAUGCGAUAAGUAGUGUGAAUUGCAGAAUUCAGUGAAUCAUCGAAUCUUUGAACGCACAUUGCGCCCCAUGGUAUUCCGUGGGGCAUGCCUGUUCGAGCGUCAUUUACCCCCUCAAGCUCCGCUUGGUGUUGGGCGUCUGUCCCGCUUCGCGCGCGGACUCGCCCCAAAGGUAUUGGCAGCGGUCGUGCCAGCUUCUCGCGCAGCACAUUGCGCUUCUCGAGGCACCGGUGGGCCCGCGUCCAUCAAGCUCACCACCCCAGUUUGACCUCGGAUCAGGUAGGGAUACCCGCUGAACUUAAGCAUAUCAAUAAGCGGAGGA
Molecule: unclassified non-coding RNA, 337 nt
Filed under: soil metagenome
Description: partial contains 5.8S ribosomal RNA, internal transcribed spacer 2, and large subunit ribosomal RNA
Rfam family: 5.8S ribosomal RNA (bases 1-120)
Source: RNAcentral